AUUGAACGCUGGCGGCAUGCCUUACACAUGCAAGUCGAACGGCAGCAUGGAGAGCUUGCUCUCUGAUGGCGAGUGGCGAACGGGUGAGUAAAGCAUCGGAACGUACCGUGUAGUGGGGGAUAACGUAGCGAAAGUUACGCUAAUACCGCAUACGCACUGAGGUGGAAAGCAGGGGAUCGUAAGACCUUGCGCUAUACGAGCGGCCGAUGUCAGAUUAGCUAGUUGGUAGGGUAAAGGCCUACCAAGGCGACGAUCUGUAGCGGGUCUGAGAGGAUGCGCCGCCACACUGGGACUGAGACACGGCCCAGACUCCUACGGGAGGCAGCAGUGGGGAAUUUUGGACAAUGGGGGCAACCCUGAUCCAGCCAUGCCGCGUGAGUGAAGAAGGCCUUCGGGUUGUAAAGCUCUUUCGGCCGGGAAGAAAUCGCACAGGCUAAUACCCUGUGCGGAUGACGGUACCGGCAUAAGAAGCACCGGCUAACUACGUGCCAGCCGCCGCCGUAA
Molecule: ribosomal RNA, 504 nt
Filed under: uncultured bacterium
Lineage: Bacteria
Description: partial 16S ribosomal RNA
Rfam family: Bacterial small subunit ribosomal RNA
Source: RNAcentral